GAAAGCAGUCACUAAUGAACAUAAUUAGAAGUUCUAAAUAUAUUUUAUUGUAAUUAUAAUAGAAGCCAAUGAUAUAAUAUUGAUUUAAAUUAAUCAAAUAAAGUGGAUUUAUACUUCAUGAACUUUGGAAGUAUAAAAUCUAGUGAGCAAUACUAAGUAAUGAAAAAGAGAAGCUAAUAAGACAACUAUAAAUAU
Molecule: long non-coding RNA, 195 nt
Organism: Pieris napi
Lineage: Eukaryota; Metazoa; Arthropoda; Insecta; Lepidoptera; Pieridae
Exons: 2
Source: RefSeq, a predicted model, not a curated record